This 266-nucleotide ribosomal RNA is filed under the name uncultured bacterium. RNAcentral's name for it is "partial 16S ribosomal RNA". It matches the Rfam family "Bacterial small subunit ribosomal RNA", at positions 72 to 339 of the family's 1533-position model. The record is from RNAcentral.
AUUGUAGCUCGCUACAGAUGACGACCGGCGCACGGGUGCGUAACGCGUAUACAAUCUACCUUAUACAGAGGGAUAGGCCAAAGAAAUUUGGAUUAAUACCUUAUGGUAUUUUCUAACACAUGUUAGAAUUCUUAAAGCUCCGGCGGUAUAAGAUGAGUAUGCGUGAUAUUAGCUAGUUGGUGAGGUAACUGCUCACCAAGGCAACGAUAUCUAGGGGUCUGAGAGGACUACUCCCCACACUGGUACUGAGACACGGACCAGACUCC